UAUUUGGAAGGAAGAUACCUCAUAUGGUUCUAUAUGGGUUGAAGACUUGAGCCUACGUAAAUUAUUAUCUUCAGAGGCAAUAUCUAAUGAUAUAAUUAAUUGUUGGAUGCGUAUAAUGGAAACCUUGCCCAAUGAAGAAAGCUCCAAUACGCAAUGCAACAUCUCCUACCUGCGCAUGGAGUCCACGACGAGCUUCUUCGGACUAUGAUUGAAAUAUUAUUGGGAUAUUGUACUUGAAGACUACUCUGUGAAACACAUAUCAAAUUAUCGAGAUCAAGACGGAGACGUUAAUUGUGGGGUCCAUGUUUGCCUAUGGGUUGAGUCCUUCAGGAGUAAUGAGAAAUUUUAGAUAGCAGCGAAGACCUGCAGGAUGGACUAGUACAGGACUCAUAUGGCAUACAAUAUUCUGAUAGAUCACAGAAGCACUCAAAAAGAGGGCAUUGAGAAAUACAUAGCUGAGCGACAUAAGGAUUAAGCAUUAUUUUAUUGUCAAAUAUUUUGAACAUUUGA
Molecule: long non-coding RNA, 510 nt
Organism: Elaeis guineensis (African oil palm)
Lineage: Eukaryota; Viridiplantae; Streptophyta; Magnoliopsida; Arecales; Arecaceae
Source: RefSeq, a predicted model, not a curated record